UACGGAGGAUGCGAGCGUUAUCCGGAUUUAUUGGGUUUAAAGGGUGCGUAGGUUAUUUUUUAAGUCAGCGGUGAAAGUUUGUGGCUCAACCAUAAAAUUGCCGUUGAAACUGGAAGACUUGAGUGUGUUUGAGGUAGGCGGAAUGCGUGGUGUAGCGGUGAAAUGCGUAGAUAUAUGGAAGAACACCAGUGGCGAAGGCGGCCGCCUGGCCUGUUACUGACGCUGAGGCACGAAAGCGUGGGGAGCAAAUAGG
RNAcentral lists this ribosomal RNA (253 nucleotides) under uncultured Parabacteroides sp. RNAcentral describes it as "partial 16S ribosomal RNA". It matches the Rfam family "Bacterial small subunit ribosomal RNA", at positions 524 to 776 of the family's 1533-position model. Lineage: Bacteria; Pseudomonadati; Bacteroidota; Bacteroidia; Bacteroidales; Tannerellaceae. The record is from RNAcentral.